Molecule: long non-coding RNA, 522 nt
Organism: Pieris rapae (cabbage white)
Lineage: Eukaryota; Metazoa; Arthropoda; Insecta; Lepidoptera; Pieridae
Exons: 2
Source: RefSeq, a predicted model, not a curated record
CACUGACGCUAAACAAUUUUGUUCCUCAUGCGUUGUCACGUGAUAAUUUUCUUACAAAUUGGUUUGGCUGUCAUUUGGGCGGUUUGGCAAUUGGCAUUUGGCAGUAGUGCUUCAAGCUUGGUGUAAACUGUAAACGGACUUUGUUGUAAUAAGAUUUAGAUAUGUGAUUAUUAUUAAACAUAAACAGUUAUUACUUUUUGGUGUUACAUAUCUUUAUCUAAAUAAUACAAUGACGUUGAAAUUAUCUAUAAUGGAAGGUGAUCAGAUAAUAGAGAAUAUUGUGCAAGAAACAAAUACAGAUCCUGUUGAAUUAUCUCAAGCUUUAAAUGUUUUUCGUGAAAGAAUUAACACAUUAUUCACAAAUAAACUUAUAGCACAUAGCCAAAGUUCAUUCAUGAAUUCCAGUGAUGACAGUAGUGAUGAUGAAAAUACCAGCCUUAGUCCUAAGAAAAAGAAGAAAUAAAUUUAAGCUUCACUAAUAUUAUUAAGUAUGGAUAUUAUAAUUAAAACAAAUGUUAUUUA